UGGGGGUGGGGGGAGGGAUUAUGAAAGGAGUUGUCCUCUCAGUUUUCCUUUUGACCGGGGUGAAGCACCCCUGUCCUAGGCUGUGCUCAGGACCCUCCUUGCUCAGGAUCCAGUCUUCUACUGCAGUUCAUGCCUCCUGUUUGUCUCUGUAAACCAUGCUAGAUGCCACAGGAGUUGCAAAGCUUCACAACCCAAGGACGCGCUUCCCAAAGCUGCAGUCAUCACAAAAGUCAGGACAGAGUUCCAGAAGGUGCUGCACAAGAACACAUGGCAAAGGCUGUCCAGUUCCCACCCAUCUGCCAUCAUAGCUACUCUGCAGUCGAGACUGCAGGAUCCGGAAGUUCAAGAACAGCUGUGGUGUUGUGAUGCUCACCAGAGGACAAAACAAAGACCUCAAGACAAGCAUUUCCUUCCAUUGUGAGUACACCCCUGGGAAUAGGUGGAAAUCAUGAGCAGUUGGAAGUAAAGAUGGACAAGGAACACGACCCAGAGGUCCUGAGUCAGAGACAUGCCUGGACUUGAUCUUACCCAUGGAGCUUUGUGGGAAUCAUAGGCGUUUCAUGCCUAUGAAUGGAUAAAGACUGGAUAAAGAGUGCUUGAAAGGAAUGGGGGAGAUGCUAAACAUGGAGGAGGAAAGAGCUGCUGUGAAGUGGUAAUGAUAGAGGCUUAAACAUCAGGUACAGAAAAGGUGUGGAGGGGCAAAGUCAGGACAGAAGAAGUGAGGCUGAGAAAGAGGAAGCAUCAGAGGCAGGUUUCCAGUUUCCAACUUUAAUGACUGUGGUGUUGGUGAGCUCCAAGCACAAAGAAAAAAACAACUGGAAAUGACCUGAGCCUUUAAACUCUCAAGGCUCACCUCUGGUGACUUACUUUUUCCAAUCUCCUCAAAUAGCACUACCAACCUGAGACUAAGCAUUCAAAUGUAUGAACCUGUGGGGGACAUUUUCGUUCAAACCACCAAAAGGACCUUAUGCUUUAGUGGAAGAGUUCACGUUAUGCCAUAAGUAACUGCAAGUAUCAGUGACUUGCAACGUACCAAAGAGAUAUUUGCACAUCCAUGUUUGUUGCUGACCUAGACACAAUAGUGGGGAAAUGGAAGCAGCCUACAUGGCUAUCAACGCAUGAAAGGAUAAUGAAAUGUGAUCUUUUGUGUAGCCAUAAAGAAAUGCAAUUAUGAAAUCUGCAGAAAAUGGAUUGGAUUGGACUGGAUUGGAAAUCAUUGUGUUAAGAAAAUUAAGCCAUACUCAUAUAUUUGAGUAUUAUUAUAUGCAGAAAUAUUUAAAUAUAUAAAACCAUAUUGUUUAGUAUUCUUUCAGAUAUUAUGGAUAUUGUGAGAAAAAGUUUUAAUGUCAAGAAAGCAAGUCCUGGUACCUAACACAGUGGUUUUCAAGGAACUACAUCAUUGGAAGUUGAUAGGGGACUAUGAAAGAGGAGGAAAGAAUCUUAAAGGAGUGGAGGGAGACACACAGUGUGAAAGCAAAGGAGAAACUAUUUGGAGAGAGGAGGAUACACAAUAGGGAGGACAUAGGGGGAAGAGAUGGAUAAGAACAAUUAUAUUGAUCCAUAUAUAUGAAAAUGCCAUAAUAAUUUUUUUCUGUAUACAACUUAAUUUAAAGGUGGUUCAGUGGUUAGUUAAGAGCCCCAGCUGCAAUACCAGAGAACCCAAGCCUGGUUCUCAGGAGCAAAAUCAGGUGACUCACAACUUCCUGUGAAGAAGGGGGACUGAGACAUUCAUGUGGGUUCUGUGCAAUGGCAUACAUUCCAACAGACACAUGUGGGUUCUGUACAAUGGCAUACAUUCAAACAAACAGACACAUGUGGGUUCUGUGCAAUGGCAUACAUUCCAACAGACACAUGUGGGUUCUGUGCAAUGGCAUACAUUCCAACAGACACAUGUGGGUUCCGUGCAAUGGCAUACAUUCAGACAAACAGACACAUGUGGGUUCUGUGCAAUGGCAUACAUUCAAACAGACACAUGUGGGUUCUGUGCAAUGGCAUACAUUCCAACAGACACAUGCUUGAGAAUACUUUUUAAUUAGUUAGAAAAAAAAAAGCCUUAGCAAACUUAGCAAAAAUGUUCUUCCUUUGCCCAAAGACCAUUAUAUUUCUCCAGGGCAACUGUCCUCCCCAUGUCUCACGAGUGCAGGAGCAUCACCAUCUCUACAUAAGACAGCUUUAGUAAUAAAGGAGAAAGAGGCACUGAAGAGCUUCCUAUAGGUUUGUCAAUAGUGCAGCUUGGAAAUGGCCCACAACACUGUCUCUCGAGACACAUUAUGACCUCAUCCAAUGACAGAGACUAGGAAAUCUGAAGUAGCCUGCAAAUGAUUUGGACAUUGUAUUAUUGAGCUACUGCUGUAGUCCAUGGCUACCUUCCCAGAAAAAUACUGUUGUGUUAACAAGGGCCCUCAAUUCCCUUGGUCUGUGUCAGGCCUUGUUGGGAAUCACUGCAUCGUGAACCACACACAGCGACUAUACUUUUCUCAUUUUUCUCCCUCCUUCCCCUCCAUCUCUCCCUUCUCCUUCUCUUUGUCUUUUCCUUCUCCUCUUCCUCAUUCAUCAUCAUCAUCAGAAUUAUCACCGUCGUCUUAGCUGAUCUACAACUACAACUAUCUCUAGCUCACAGCUUUAAGUCUUAUUAGUUGGAGAGCUAAUUAAAAUUUAUUAAACAAACCUCUAAUGUAGUGUUUCCUAGGAACUAUUCCAAGAAAAUUCAUUCUUUCAGAUAUUAAUAGGCAUUCUGAGAAAAAGCUUUAUUGUCAAGUAAAUAAAUCCUGGUACCUAACAUGGAUUUUUACCACAGUAUGUUUUAAACUAAUAUGCUAUUGGAAGGGCUUCCAAAAGGUACAUCUGGAAGAAGGGUGCUAAAGAGUCAUUGAUAUCCCCUAGUCCCUUGUGUACUCUUGACAAGUAAUAACAUGUCUGAUUGAUCCGACUGAUGGUCCUCUUGUCCUGUGUCCAUAUUCUGUCUCCAACCUUACCAAACACACACACCCCUCUGUCUACUCUGAUGUUGGUACACUGCUCAUCAUACAGAAGUCUCUGUCUAACAAAGGGAACAUUGUGAACAUCAUUACAGAACUGGAUGCAAGGGUCUGGGGACUAAAGCCUCAGCAAGUCAGGCACUUUCUAACUCUUGAAUUUUAAUGGAACUGAAGGACAUCCUAAUGGAGUUGUUAAGGGAUAAACCAUUAAAAUAUUUUCAUGAUAAA
Long non-coding RNA from Mastomys coucha (southern multimammate mouse), 3206 nucleotides. RefSeq lists it as uncharacterized. Lineage: Eukaryota; Metazoa; Chordata; Mammalia; Rodentia; Muridae. The transcript has 3 exons. The record is from RefSeq and is a predicted model, not a curated record.